Molecule: transfer RNA, 84 nt
Filed under: Felis catus (domestic cat)
Lineage: Eukaryota; Metazoa; Chordata; Mammalia; Carnivora; Felidae
Rfam family: tRNA
About the family: Transfer RNA (tRNA) molecules are approximately 80 nucleotides in length.
Source: Rfam by way of RNAcentral
GCCUGGGGGCUCAGUUGGUUAAGCACCUGAUUUUGGCUCAGGUCAUGGUCUCACGGUUCGUGGGUUCGAGCCCCACGUCGGGCU